UACGAAGGGGGCUAGCGUUGUUCGGAAUCACUGGGCUUAAAGGGCGCGUAGGCGGGUCAGCAAGUCCGGGGUGAAAUCUUUCGGCUUAACCGGAAAAGUGCCUUGGAUACUGCUGGUCUCGAGGGAGGUAGGGGUCUGUGGAACUUCGGGUGGAGCGGUGAAAUGCGUUGAUAUCGGAAGGAACGCCGGUGGCGAAAGCGACGUGCUGGCCCUCUUCUGACGCUGAGGCGCGAAAGCCAGGGGAGCGAACGGG
This 253-nucleotide ribosomal RNA is filed under the name uncultured bacterium. RNAcentral describes it as "partial 16S ribosomal RNA". It matches the Rfam family "Bacterial small subunit ribosomal RNA", at positions 524 to 776 of the family's 1533-position model. The record is from RNAcentral.